UCGCUCACCAUACACAUGUGCACACAUGUAUGCACCCAUACAUGCGUUUGACUUUUUUGAUUGUUUGCAGACACCUGCAUAGUGGUGCAAGAUUAGCACCAGACACUAGAUGUCUAGAACUAGGAUAUUGUUAAGGACAAUACAGUUGAAUGUGUAAGGAGAGGCUUCUGUUUGUGCUAGAUGACACAAGCAGCAAACGAUAGAGGUUUGGAAUUCUUUAAGUGAAUGCUGAAGCCAGAUCUAAUGGUUGAUAGUUAUUUGUUGCAAUUAUAAAUUAAAACCUUAUAAGAAAUUUAUUUUUGAAUCACUCAGUUCUCUGUGUCUGAGAUUGUUUUACUUUUACAUGGAUAAUUUUAGUUUGGACUGCAUGUGAGCUUAUUUAUGAUUUUCUCUCUGUUCCAAUGAGUUCAUAAUAAUUCUAGAUUAUGUUUAAAUAAGUCCUCAAUUUAUUAUUUUUUUUAUUCUGCUUUCAGUGCAAGCCUUUUCUGGUAUUUUUUAUGUAGUCCUCUUUGCAAUUUAAAAUCACUGUUAAAUUGUGAAUUUCUUCAGAAUGCAGUUGGUUCUCAUUUAUACCCUCAGAAUCCAGUCCUCCGCCUUGGAAGUCAGCUCAACUUCAGUGUAGAAGGUUGGUGUAUGAUAAAAUUUUACAUUAAUUUUUAGUUGGUCACAACUAAAACUCACAAAUCCAUUUCGGAAAUCUAGAUCUAAAAGACAACAUUGAAUUAAUGUUUAAAAAGCCAUACUAAUUGUAUAUGUCAGGUAGAAAUCUUAGUCUGAAAUUGAUGAAUAAUUCAAAUGCUAUUUUUUUUUGUCUGAAAUCUAUACUAAACCAUUGGAACAGCUUAGCUCAGCUAACUCUAAUCCUUAAGUUGGAUAUGCCCAGUAGUUGUAGGAAUGCCAUCAAGGAUUUAUCCGUUGGGUUAAGCUUGAAAGCUCAAACAUUGAGUGUUUAUAUUUAAGAGCUUCUUCCUUCCAUGCUAUUGGAGAAUAUAGAGAAGCGGUAUUAGGGAUUCUUUUUCUUGAUUUUCCCAUUUAAACUACUGGGCAUCAUGCUCAAUUCUUCUUUGCUUUGGUUUACUAAAUUUCAUUUUAUGAUAAAGGUGAAGGAUUAUGAUGCAGAAAAUUACAAAUUAUAUGAAGAAGUUGGAGAAGAUGUCAGCGCCACUGUUCACCGGGCUCUCUGCAUUCCUUUGUGUUGACUGGGAUUUGGGAAUGUAUCCUGCUCAAAAUUGUCUUUGUUGUACAUGAACCUAUUAUGAUUAAUUGAAUACGAAUCCCUAUUCUGCAGUGUAAUGAUGUGUAAUAUGCUUGACUAUUCCAUUGCAUCUGCAUGUGCAAGCAAAUGACUUAACCUA
Camellia sinensis is the source of this 1355-nucleotide non-coding RNA. Lineage: Eukaryota; Viridiplantae; Streptophyta; Magnoliopsida; Ericales; Theaceae. The record is from RefSeq and is a predicted model, not a curated record.